CGGGACACGUGGUAUCCUGUCUGAAUAUGGGGGGACCAUCCUCCAAGGCUAAAUACUCCUGACUGACCGAUAGUGAACCAGUACCGUGAGGGAAAGGCGAAAAGAACCCCGGCGAGGGGAGUGAAAAAGAACCUGAAACCGUGUACGUACAAGCAGUGGGAGCACGCUUAGGCGUGUGACUGCGUACCUUUUGUAUAAUGGGUCAGCGACUUAUAUUCUGUAGCAAGGUUAACCGAAUAGGGGAGCCGAAGGGAAACCGAGUCUUAACUGGGCGUUAAGUUGCAGGGUAUAGACCCGAAACCCGGUGAUCUAGCCAUGGGCAGGUUGAAGGUUGGGUAACACUAACUGGAGGACCGAACCGACUAAUGUUGAAAAAUUAGCGGAUGACUUGUGGCUGGGGGUGAAAGGCCAAUCAAACCGGGAGAUAGCUGGUUCUCCCCGAAAGCUAUUUAGGUAGCGCCUCGUGAAUUCAUCUCCGGGGGUAGAGCACUGUUUCGGCAAGGGGGUCAUCCCGACUUACCAACCCGAUGCAAACUGCGAAUACCGGAGAAUGUUAUCACGGGAGACACACGGCGGGUGCUAACGUCCGUCGUGAAGAGGGAAACAACCCAGACCGCCAGCUAAGGUCCCAAAGUCAUGGUUAAGUGGGAAACGAUGUGGGAAGGCCCAGACAGCCAGGAUGUUGGCUUAGAAGCAGCCAUCAUUUAAAGAAAGCGUAAUAGCUCACUGGUCGAGUCGGCCUGCGCGGAAGAUGUAACGGGGCUAAACCAUGCACCGAAGCUGCGGCAGCGACGCUGAUGCGUUGUUGGGUAGGGGAGCGUUCUGUAAGCCUGCGAAGGUGUGCUGUGAGGCAUGCUGGAGGUAUCAGAAGUGCGAAUGCUGACAUAAGUAACGAUAAAGCGGGUGAAAAGCCCGCUCGCCGGAAGACCAAGGGUUCCUGUCCAACGUUAAUCGGGGCAGGGUGAGUCGACCCCUAAGGCGAGGCCGAAAGGCGUAGUCGAUGGGAAACAGGUUAAUAUUCCUGUACUUGGUGUUACUGCGAAGGGGGGACGGAGAAGGCUAUGUUGGCCGGGCGACGGUUGUCCCGGUUUAAGCGUGUAGGCUGGUUUUCCAGGCAAAUCCGGAAAAUCAAGGCUGAGGCGUGAUGACGAGGCACUACGGUGCUGAAGCAACAAAUGCCCUGCUUCCAGGAAAAGCCUCUAAGCAUCAGGUAACAUCAAAUCGUACCCCAAACCGACACAGGUGGUCAGGUAGAGAAUACCAAGGCGCUUGAGAGAACUCGGGUGAAGGAACUAGGCAAAAUGGUGCCGUAACUUCGGGAGAAGGCACGCUGAUAUGUAGGUGAAGUCCCUCGCGGAUGGAGCUGAAAUCAGUCGAAGAUACCAGCUGGCUGCAACUGUUUAUUAAAAACACAGCACUGUGCAAACACGAAAGUGGACGUAUACGGUGUGACGCCUGCCCGGUGCCGGAAGGUUAAUUGAUGGGGUUAGCGCAAGCGAAGCUCUUGAUCGAAGCCCCGGUAAACGGCGGCCGUAACUAUAACGGUCCUAAGGUAGCGAAAUUCCUUGUCGGGUAAGUUCCGACCUGCACGAAUGGCGUAAUGAUGGCCAGGCUGUCUCCACCCGAGACUCAGUGAAAUUGAACUCGCUGUGAAGAUGCAGUGUACCCGCGGCAAGACGGAAAGACCCCGUGAACCUUUACUAUAGCUUGACACUGAACAUUGAGCCUUGAUGUGUAGGAUAGGUGGGAGGCUUUGAAGUGUGGACGCCAGUCUGCAUGGAGCCGACCUUGAAAUACCACCCUUUAAUGUUUGAUGUUCUAACGUGGACCCGUAAUCCGGGUUGCGGACAGUGUCUGGUGGGUAGUUUGACUGGGGCGGUCUCCUCCUAAAGAGUAACGGAGGAGCACGAAGGUUGGCUAAUCCUGGUCGGACAUCAGGAGGUUAGUGCAAUGGCAUAAGCCAGCUUGACUGCGAGCGUGACGGCGCGAGCAGGUGCGAAAGCAGGUCAUAGUGAUCCGGUGGUUCUGAAUGGAAGGGCCAUCGCUCAACGGAUAAAAGGUACUCCGGGGAUAACAGG
Molecule: ribosomal RNA, 2078 nt
Filed under: Escherichia coli
Lineage: Bacteria; Pseudomonadati; Pseudomonadota; Gammaproteobacteria; Enterobacterales; Enterobacteriaceae
Description: partial 23S ribosomal RNA
Rfam family: Bacterial large subunit ribosomal RNA
Source: RNAcentral